AACACAUGCAAGUCGAACGAACCCUUCGGGGUUAGUGGCGGACGGGUGAGUAACGCGUGAGGAUCAGCCCUUAGGAGGGGAACAACAGUUGGAAACGACUGCUAAUGCCCCAUAUGCCGAGAGGUGAAACAGUUAAUUCUGCCUAGGGAUGAACUCGCGUCUGAUUAGCUAGUUGGUCGGGUAAUGGCUGACCAAGGCGACGAUCAGUAGCUGGUCUAAGAGGAUGAUCAGCCACACUGGGACUGAGACACGGCCCAGACUCCUACGGGAGGCAGCAGUGGGGAAUUUUCCGCAAUGGGCGAAAGCCUGACGGAGCAAUACCGCGUGAGGGAGGAAGGCCUUAGGGUUGUAAACCUCUUUUCUCUGGGAAGAAGAUCUGACGGUACCAGAGGAAUAAGCCUCUCUAACUCCGUGCCAGCAGCCGCGGUAAGACGGAGGAGGCAAGCGUUAUCCGGAAUUAUUGGGCGUAAAGCGUCCGUAGGCGGUUAAUUAAGUCUGUUGUUAAAGCCCACAGCUCAACUGUGGAUCGGCAAUGGAAACUGGUUGACUAGAGUGUGGUAGGGGUAGAGGGAAUUCCCGGUGUAGCGGUGAAAUGCGUAGAUAUCGGGAAGAACACCAGUGGCGAAGGCGCUCUACUGGGCCACAACUGACGCUGAUGGACGAAAGCUAGUGGAGCGAAAGGGAUUAGAUACCCCUGUAGUCCUAGCUGUAAACGAUGGAUACUAGGUGUUGGACGUAUCGACCCGUGCAGUACCGUAGCUAACGCGUUAAGUAUCCCGCCUGGGGAGUACGCACGCAAGUGUGAAACUCAAAGGAAUUGACGGGGGCCCGCACAAGCGGUGGAGGAUGUGGUUUAAUUCGAUGCAACGCGAAGAACCUUACCAAGGCUUGACAUCCUGCGAAUCUUUCAGAGAUGAGAGAGUGCCUUCGGGAGCGCAGAGACAGGUGGUGCAUGGCUGUCGUCAGCUCGUGUCGUGAGAUGUUGGGUUAAGUCCCGCAACGAGCGCAACCCUCGUCCUUAGUUGCCAUCAUUAAGUUGGGCACUCUGGGGAGACUGCCGGGGACAACUCGGAGGAAGGUGGGGACGACGUCAAGUCAUCAUGCCCCUUACGUCUUGGGCUACACACGUCCUACAAUGCUACAGACAGAGGGCAGCAAGCGCGCGAGUGCAAGCAAAUCCCAUAAACUGUGGCUCAGUUCAGAUUGCAGGCUGCAACUCGCCUGCAUGAAGGCGGAAUCGCUAGUAAUCGCAGGUCAGCAUACUGCGGUGAAUACGUUCCCGGGCCUUGUACACACCGCCCGUCACACCAUGGGAGUUGGCCACGCCCGAAGUCGUUACUCUAACCGUUCGCGGAGGAGGGCACCGAAGGCAGGGCUGAUGACUGGGGUGAAGUCGUAACAAGGUA
RNAcentral lists this ribosomal RNA (1406 nucleotides) under metagenome. RNAcentral's name for it is "bacterial SSU rRNA". It matches the Rfam family "Bacterial small subunit ribosomal RNA". The record is from RNAcentral.